RNAcentral lists this unclassified non-coding RNA (258 nucleotides) under uncultured Phaeosphaeria. Its description in RNAcentral is "sequence contains 5.8S rRNA gene". The stretch from base 1 to 53 matches the Rfam family "5.8S ribosomal RNA", at positions 102 to 154 of the family's 154-position model. Lineage: Eukaryota; Fungi; Ascomycota; Dothideomycetes; Pleosporales; Phaeosphaeriaceae. The record is from RNAcentral.
GAACGCACAUUGCGCCCCUUGGUAUUCCAUGGGGCAUGCCUGUUCGAGCGUCAUCUACACCCUCAAGCUCUGCUUGGUGUUGGGCGUCUGUCCCCGCCUCCGCGCGUGGACUCGCCCCAAAUUCAUUGGCAGCGGUGUCUUUUUGCCCCAGUCUUGCGCAGCACAUUGCGCUUGCAGAACUGCGGCGGCCCGCGAUCCAACAAGCUCCUUUCACCGUCUUUGACCUCGGAUCAGGUAGGGAUACCCGCUGAACUUAAG